RNAcentral lists this ribosomal RNA (800 nucleotides) under uncultured bacterium. RNAcentral's name for it is "bacterial SSU rRNA". It matches the Rfam family "Bacterial small subunit ribosomal RNA", at positions 88 to 883 of the family's 1533-position model. The record is from RNAcentral.
UUACCUAGCGGCGGACGGGUGAGUAAUGCUUAGGAAUCUGCCUAUUAGUGGGGGACAACAUCUCGAAAGGGAUGCUAAUACCGCAUACGUCCUACGGGAGAAAGCAGGGGACCUUCGGGCCUUGCGCUAAUAGAUGAGCCUAAGUCGGAUUAGCUAGUUGGUGGGGUAAAGGCCUACCAAGGCGACGAUCUGUAGCGGGUCUGAGAGGAUGAUCCGCCACACUGGGACUGAGACACGGCCCAGACUCCUACGGGAGGCAGCAGUGGGGAAUAUUGGACAAUGGGGGGAACCCUGAUCCAGCCAUGCCGCGUGUGUGAAGAAGGCCUUUUGGUUGUAAAGCACUUUAAGCGAGGAGGAGGCUACCGAGAUUAAUACUCUUGGAUAGUGGACGUUACUCGCAGAAUAAGCACCGGCUAACUCUGUGCCAGCAGCCGCGGUAAUACAGAGGGUGCAAGCGUUAAUCGGAUUUACUGGGCGUAAAGCGCGCGUAGGUGGCCAAUUAAGUCAAAUGUGAAAUCCCCGAGCUUAACUUGGGAAUUGCAUUCGAUACUGGUUGGCUAGAGUAUGGGAGAGGAUGGUAGAAUUCCAGGUGUAGCGGUGAAAUGCGUAGAGAUCUGGAGGAAUACCGAUGGCGAAGGCAGCCAUCUAGCCUAAUACUGACACUGAGGUGCGAAAGCAUGGGGAGCAAACAGGAUUAGAUACCCUGGUAGUCCAUGCCGUAAACGAUGUCUACUAGCCGUUGGGGCCUUUGAGGCUUUAGUGGCGCAGCUAACGCGAUAAGUAGACCGCCUGGGGAGUAC